CGAAAAGCUUACAUUUACUGUUUCCUUAUUCAAAUAGCUCUGCAUUUCUUCUGCAAUUGGAAAGCCUUAAGCAUCACAAAGUUUAAAAAUACCCUAAGAUUGAAAAGCUUCAAGGGAAUGCGUCUAUGGGUUUUCAUAGUGAACCAAGGCUGAGGCUGGGCGGUGGGCCCUUGCUCCUGCCCUGGUCCCCGGGAUGCUGAGCCACCUCCAGCUCCAGGGAGGGUGUGGCCAGGCAGGCCAGUCAGAGGGCAGCAUGCCCUGGCUCUGCACAUUGCUAGGUGCCCCGGGCCUGCAGCCUGUUGGGCCCCUGGACACAGUGUGUGCCUGGAGCUGCUGGGAACCCAGGAGGUGAGAGUCCAUCAGGGCCGAGUGAUGCAGGAAAGCUCAGCCACGAGGGGCUGCCUGAGAUCCACUGCGGAGCCUCCUGCCACAAGGCCCUCAUUCCCUGCUGACCUGAGCUGACCCCAGACAGGGCUGUUGCUGCAAGCCCAGGAGGCAGGGGGGUGCGGCAGCUGCCCCCACCACGAAGGCUGGACAGUAGUGCAUCAGGGGUGUGUGUGCGGGCGGUUCAACCCGGCCUCUAGUGGAGCUGACUGUAUACACCUGCACUCAAUGAGCCGAAUGAGAAGUGCAGGUAGGACACGUGUUCCACGCUCUGUCCCCCGGGCUCUUCAGUUGCUGCCUCCACUGUAGCCACGGGAAAGAAACCGUCACGCGCCGUGCAAUGCCAUGAACGUGGCCGGAGUCUCAUGGUACUUUUGGGAUGGUCAGGAUGAGGGGAAGGCCACAGCAGUGGCCUGUGUAGCUGUCCAGGGGACCCCGUGGGAGAACUUCCCCGAGCUGUCCAUCAAGCCCCCCAGCUGGCCCAGACUCGGGGGGAGCCCAGGGAAAGCUCUGGCAAAGGCUGCCAGCCCUGGCCGUCUUUUAAAGGUUGAGGGCUGGUUGGUUCCUAUUAUAGAGGUUGACCCAAUGCCAAGGCUUGCUCAGCUGAAAUGGGGCUCAGCAGAACCACGCCCCACCCACCUGCGGGGAGGGCACACGUCCAAACGCAUCGCAAUCCCAUGGCGGUGAGUGGCUGCAGAGGAACCCCUUCCCGGGAGCCACCCAGCCCUUCCUUGUCAAUGGCUCCGAGCUUUUCUUCUAACUCAAAAAGACAACAGUGGCCCCCUCUCCCCUGCUCUAAUGCCAGCAUGUUGGGAGGUGGGUGGCCUCCGACCUUGAGAACCCAGGAGCUGAG
Molecule: long non-coding RNA, 1237 nt
Filed under: Marmota monax (woodchuck)
Lineage: Eukaryota; Metazoa; Chordata; Mammalia; Rodentia; Sciuridae
Source: RNAcentral